This 253-nucleotide ribosomal RNA is filed under the name uncultured bacterium. RNAcentral describes it as "partial 16S ribosomal RNA". It matches the Rfam family "Bacterial small subunit ribosomal RNA", at positions 524 to 776 of the family's 1533-position model. The record is from RNAcentral.
GACGUAGGGCGCGAGCGUUGUCCGGAUUUAUUGGGCGUAAAGGGCUCGUAGGCGGUUUGUCGCGUCGGGAGUGAAAACCUCGGGCUUAACUCGGGGCUUGCUUUCGAUACGGGCAGACUAGAGGUAUGCAGGGGAGAACGGAAUUCCUGGUGUAGCGGUGAAAUGCGCAGAUAUCAGGAGGAACACCGGUGGCGAAGGCGGUUCUCUGGGCAUGAUCUGACGCUGAGGAGCGAAAGUGUGGGGAGCGAACAGG